Long non-coding RNA from Anolis sagrei ordinatus, 888 nucleotides. RefSeq lists it as uncharacterized. The record is from RefSeq and is a predicted model, not a curated record. Lineage: Eukaryota; Metazoa; Chordata; Lepidosauria; Squamata; Anolidae.
UCCGUAUCCUUUUGGCUCGCCGUCAUUCCGCGCGUGGCGGAGGCAGAGGGAACAAGAUGGCGGCGUGAGGGGAGAAACGGAGGCUGCGGCCCGCUGGGCCUACGUUGAGGCCCACGUUUGCACCAUAUUGAUUGACAGUCCGAAGAAGAAAACUGGAUUACUGUAACGUGAUGGUCAGGAGUUCAUGGAGAUAAAUGAUUUGUGCAGCUAUGAUACAAAAGGGAACAUUCUUAUGGUUUCAAUUAAACAAUUAGAAGCUGAGAAACAAUUGUGGUCUUACAUAACUGUUCUUCCCUGUCCCAACAAAUGAAGACUGAUUGUGGAGCCUUGCCUGGUUGUGAAGGCACUUCCGGCGAUGGAAAAUCCCUCAUCGUCACCAUAAAAGAAAUGAAGAACCAUUGCUCUCUUUCUGCUCUAUUUCCGGGAAAAGAUAAUCUUGCCCUUUAAAAUAGUUGACAUUUUGUAGAAGUGUCAAUAGUGACAGCCCGUUUUUCACUGUUUUGGCACACUACAAAUGUUUAUCCAUCCAUCCAAAGACUAACAACUGUUCUGGCUGAUAGUUGCCAUAGAUAAGGAAAGGCUUACUCCCUACAUUGCAUUACGGAAAACCUAACAAUUGAUGUCCUUUGAGCAAGUGGAUCUUAGUGUAUUAAAGAUCCUGGUAGAAUAAUCAAGAUAUUAUGUGUGUUAUUCUAAAAGAAAGAAUAGCCUCUCAAAGAAAAUAAAAACCCUUUGAAAAUUCCUCAGCAGGGAUUGUUCUCCUGAAAGGAGUCAGUUUACAGAUAGCCAUCUUGGCAUCUCUAUUUAGCAGCUGACAUCCAGCAGCAAAUAGUCCACUGUGUUGGAGAGCAUCCUCCUUUUGUAAAUCAAAGCAAAUGAACAAAAUAA